GCAGCCAUCAUUUAAAGAAAGCGUAAUAGCUCACUGAUCGAGUCGUCCUGCGCGGAAGAUGUACCGGGGCUAAGUCAAUAACCGAAGCUGCGGAUGCACAUUUAUGUGCGUGGUAGGGGAGCGUUCUGUACGCCUGCGAAGGUGUCUCGUAAGGGAUGCUGGAGGUAUCAGAAGUGCGAAUGCUGACAUGAGUAGCGUUAAAGGGGGUGAAAAGCCCCCUCGCCGUAAGCGCAAGGUUUCCUACGCAACGUUCAUCGGCGUAGGGUGAGUCGGCCCCUAAGGUGAGGCAGAGAUGCGUAGCUGAUGGGAAACAGGUUAAUAUUCCUGUACCGAUUACAAGUGCGAUGUGGGGACGGAGAAGGUUAGCUCAGCCAACUGUUGGAUAUGUUGGUUCAAGCCUGUAGUCAUGCCUGGUAGGCAAAUCCGCCGGGCUAAGAUGAGGGGUGAUAACGAGUGUGCUUGCACACGAAGUGAGUGAUACCCUGCUUCCAGGAAAAGCCACUAAGCUUCAGCUUGUAACGACCGUACCGCAAACCGACACUGG
Molecule: ribosomal RNA, 544 nt
Filed under: Alexandrium tamarense
Lineage: Eukaryota; Dinophyceae; Gonyaulacales; Pyrocystaceae
Description: partial Bacterial large subunit ribosomal RNA
Rfam family: Bacterial large subunit ribosomal RNA
Source: RNAcentral